GUGGGGAAUAUUGCACAAUGGGCGCAAGCCUGAUGCAGCGACGCCGCGUGCGGGAUGGAGGCCUUCGGGUUGUAAACCGCUUUUGUUCAAGGGCAAGGCACGGUUUUUGGCCGUGUUGAGUGGAUUGUUCGAAUAAGCACCGGCUAACUACGUGCCAGCAGCCGCGGUAAUACGUAGGGUGCAAGCGUUAUCCGGAUUUAUUGGGCGUAAAGGGCUCGUAGGCGGUUCGUCGCGUCCGGUGUGAAAGUCCAUCGCUUAACGGUGGAUCCGCGCCGGGUACGGGCGGGCUUGAGUGCGGUAGGGGAGACUGGAAUUCCCGGUGUAACGGUGGAAUGUGUAGAUAUCGGGAAGAACACCAAUGGCGAAGGCAGGUCUCUGGGCCGUUACUGACGCUGAGGAGCGAAAGCGUGGGGAGCGAACAGGAUUAGAAACCCUAGUAGUCC
Molecule: ribosomal RNA, 443 nt
Filed under: uncultured bacterium
Lineage: Bacteria
Description: bacterial SSU rRNA
Rfam family: Bacterial small subunit ribosomal RNA
Source: RNAcentral